CAGCUUUAAUACAAGCUUCAAACUAAUAGAAACCAGCCGCAGAUAGCUAAUGUGACACAGAUGUGGGUUGGUGGGGGGUUUGUAUCUGCAGUUUUGAGUGGCUUCCAGGCCUAUCUGAUUUGUUUACAUUGGAGGUUAGGGUGGUUGAUGUGAAAAAAAAAAAAGAAAAAAAAGUGGUGUGUGCGUGUGUUAUCAUUGGUGAAUUUCGGGUGAAAUUUUUUCUUUUUAUAUCCAAGAAAAUUUAACUUGAGCCUGGACCGGUCCUUGCAGUCAAGUCUAACGAGUUGUUGAUCUUCGGCGAAGAAUAAUGGUAUCUGAUGGUUUCUUGCAUUUUCUCGAAUUCGAUAAUCUCCUCAUGAUGGAAUUUUCAAGCUUUUCAUAGAAAUGGCUAAAGGAUCCGUGGAAUGUGGAGUGGGCUCUACCUUUAAUGGGCUAUUCUCCAAAAAAAUAACACAAACUGUAAUUUCCACCGUUCCACUGGAGGUCUUUUGGUUAAGGUAAUAAACGGUUUUAAAAACAGCCAACCAUAUGAUACUUUUCCUACAAUGGUUGAAUCUAACAGCUGGAAUUGUGUGAUCCCUUAACUGAAUUUUGAUAUAUGGCCUAUCACAUUAUGCAUUA
Molecule: long non-coding RNA, 621 nt
Organism: Magnolia sinica
Lineage: Eukaryota; Viridiplantae; Streptophyta; Magnoliopsida; Magnoliales; Magnoliaceae
Exons: 2
Source: RefSeq, a predicted model, not a curated record